AUUGUUAAUGUAUUACCUCAUGUCUUAUUCAUGGUAACUAAUGCAUUCAUUCAUGUUAGUUAGUCAACACCUAAUAAAGUAUAAAUAAAGUAAAUGUAAUGCUUAAAAAUGUUGUACAUAAUAAAUAAUUAAGGCGUUCUGUUUUAAGUACUGUUAAUUAAUGCACCCCUAUUGUAAAGUGUUACCAUUUGUUCUUUUCUUCAGAAUAGAACUGUGUUUUUUGAGAGUUUGCCUGGGGUGCCUGGGGUUGCUCAAUUCUGGUCCUGGAAAUCAGCCCCUCUGCAGAGUUUAGGUCUAGCUAAGGAUGCACCAAAUAUUUGGCAACCAAAAAUAUUAAACCAAAAAUCUCCAAAACGUUUGUUUUUUGGUGCAUGACUCGUCACACUUUAUAUCCAUUUACUACCUUCACAAACUUUUGCCGUGUUCAGAAACUUUCUGUCUUCCAGUUAUAAUAUAUAAACUGUACAGGGCUAUGAGCAGGUGAGUGAGAACUUACAUAAUUAGCCCUUAUUAGCAUUUCUUUGUUGGCGUAAAGAUUGGCUGCCUUUCUUUUUGUAAAGUUCACUCACUCACAUGUGACUAGGGUAGUGGUCCUGAGAACAUAUAUGAUUAGAAUAGCACUCCUGAGGUAGAUUCAUGAUCAGAAUAGCAGUGCUGAGGAAGAUUCAUAAUCAGAAAAGCACUGCUGAGGAAGAUUAUGAUUAGAAUAGCACUGCUAAGGUACAUUUAUGAUUGGCAUAGCCCUUCUGAGGUAGAUUCAUGAUCAGAAUAGUACUGCUAAGGUAGAUUCAUGAUUGGAAUAGCACUGUGGAGAUCGAAUUUAUGAUUAGAAUAGCACUGCUGAGGUAGAUUAAUGAUUGGAAUAGCACUGCUGAGGUAGAUUCAUGAUCAGAAUAGCACUAUGAGGUGAAUUUAUGAUUAGAAUAGUGCUGCUAAGGUAAAUUUAUAAUUAAAAUAGCACUCCUUUGGUAGAUUCAUGAUUAGAAUAGCACUACUGAGGUACUUUUAUGAUUAGAAUAGCAUUGCUGAGGUAGAUUUAUGAUCAGAAUAGCACUGCUGAGGUAGAUUCAUGAUUAGAAUAGCAUUGCUGAGGUAGAUUCAUGAUUAGAAUAGCAUUGCUGAGGUACGUUUAUGGUUAGAAUUGCAUUGCUGAGGUAAAGUUGUGUUUUGUUGGUUUGUAUUCUGAGAUAUUUAAUAGUUAAUACUGUACAAUUUUACCGUUGUAGUUUAUUUUAAGGUUAUAUUUCAUUUAUUUAGCGGUAAAAAAUAGCAAAAGUAAGUUUCUGAGGCAAGUGUGUUGGAUCUAAACUUUCCAGAUUUGUUUUCCAGGACAUGGAUUGGGUACUUUUAAAAUAACCUACAAUAGAGGGAAAAGCCAGGAAAUACACUUUACAAUGAAAAUGAGUUCAUGGUCUUUGUUUUAUAUCAUUAGAUCAAUAAUUUACGUUAAUUCACAAUAUUAUGUAUUAAUAUAAGAACAUUUAGUAUGAUCCUGCCAUUACAGAUGUUUUAGGCACAUCAGUUAAAUUUAUUGAAGUCUUUAUUCCCAGAAAACAAAAUUACGUAAAAUGUCUUAUUCCUUAAAGAGACUGUGUGGAAGAUAAGGCAUGUUUGGAUUGUGUGUAUAAACUCAGAGGAGCACUUUAUUGUACAGUAAUUGAUAUCUGGAUUUGAUAUCAGACGUUGUUUUAUACUGAAUAAUGUGAAAUAAUGUUGGUUGUAGUUUUACUUUGGUCAUUUUUUAAAUGAGGAGCCUCAUAAACAUCACUGAUGUUUAUUUAGAAUCGUGGAUAUGUUUUUCUAAUUAUAUGAAGAAAUUAACAUUUGUUUUUGAUUUGUUUAUAAAAUAAUUUUGCACUAUUUCUUGUUAUUUUGGAAAAUGUAACAUAUUAAUAAAUGUUUAAAUCAGUA
Long non-coding RNA from Astyanax mexicanus (Mexican tetra), 1911 nucleotides. RefSeq lists it as uncharacterized. The transcript is spliced from 2 exons. Lineage: Eukaryota; Metazoa; Chordata; Actinopteri; Characiformes; Acestrorhamphidae. The record is from RefSeq and is a predicted model, not a curated record.